This 12623-nucleotide long non-coding RNA is filed under the name Gallus gallus (chicken). RNAcentral's name for it is "lncRNA (ENSGALG00010025864.1)". Lineage: Eukaryota; Metazoa; Chordata; Aves; Galliformes; Phasianidae. The record is from RNAcentral.
AAUGAGCUAAGGCCAGUUGAGUGCUUGCGUGGCUGUGAAGCACCAGUGCUGCAAAGAUGGGAAAAGACAAAGUGAUGUGACUUCUGGGGAAGGCACCUUAAAAUAGAAAGAAAAAGAAAGGUGGGAUUGUUGGGUUAUGCCAAGCCCAGGAAGGAUGAAGGAAAAAUUGCUCCCUAGUUAAAGCCAUUUCUACUGAAAAUUCUCUGCAUGGAGAAAGGGCUUGAGAAAGUGGACUCAUCCCAAGAAGGAUUUGAAGAGGCCAAGUAUUCAAAGCAGCAGCAUGCAAACUCCAGGAGGGCCUUCAGAGGUGUAAGUGGUAGGUGGUUGGAAGUGAAAAAUAGAUGUGACUUUAGGAAAGGAUCAUGAUAGAACUGGAAGAAUUCCAUUGAAGAACUCAGACGGAGACAGUGUAAAUCACGUGAACCUGAAGCGAACCAAAAAUCAUGAGAAGAUGCUUGUUUAAUACACAAGGAACUCUAAAAACAAUGAGGAAAAAGCAACAGUCUUACUAACAUAUGUGUCUUAAUUUACUCAUAUCUGUGCAGACUUCAUUCUGCUUUUAAUAAUAAUGCAUCACAGGCCUUUUAUAGUCUGUUUCAAACUCCUGUCUAACAUGAUGAAAAUCUUAAAUAUGAUCCUUUUAAGGAUGGAAGAUGUAUCACAUAGAAUGGAGGAGGACUGCGGUACAAAAAUGAAUGGCCACCUAGCACAUCUGCAGCAGCAGUCAUCAGCAGAUGUUUAGGGGAGAAUAGAAAACUGAGGAUGUGUGACAUGAUUAAUUUCCUUGUUUAGCCUCUUGUUUUGAGUAUUCAGCUUUUCAGUGACUUCCUGAACUGGAAGUUCAAUAUGGUCGGUCAUGUCCUACUGAUACAGCUUUCUGGCAUGAGUUUGUUCAGUGUCUUUUGAACCUGUUUGAGUACUAUUCUCAUCACUGACCCAUGGCAGUUAUUAUACGAUGCCUAAUAAAACACAGAGCUUUUUUCCCCCCAAAAUGCUAAUGACUUUUUUGCACCCUGUUGUUUGUUUAACAGUUAGUGACUAAUGUUUAUCUGGUCUCUCUGCUUCCAUUUAGUAAUUUAGAACUUCUCCCAUGUCUCACCUCAAUUAUGUAUUUUCCGUGUGAAGGGCUCCUGGUCCAUGCUGCUCGUGAGGUGGAACAGCACACACUUUUGAUCAUCAUUGCUGCUCUCUGAGCAUACUCUGUUUCUUCUAUAUGCUCAGAUUGGUGGGGGUCAGACUCACAUGCUGUAGUCAAGCUUUCAGUAAUACUUUUUAAGCCCUUGGUGUACCUGGGGAUGCUAGUAGUGGUCUGAUGGUUAAGAUGGCAGAACCUGGAGGAGGUAUUACAACUGCUUAGAUAGUAUGUCUAGAAAUCUGGAGGCGGCACUCAACAGUUUCUCAGGUUGGAAACAAAAUCAAGGGAAGGGAAGAAUUUCUCAGAGACUCUAGACCUCCAUGAUCUGAAUCACAGAAUCACAGAAUGGACCCUUUGGUUCAUCUGGUCCAAUCCCUGCUCCAGCAGGACCACCCAGACCAGGCUGCCCAAGCCCACAUCCAAGUGGCUUUUGAAGAUUUUCACAGCCUCUCUGGGCCACCUGUGUCAGUGCUCAGUCAUCUACACCGUAAAUUUUGACAAAGUCCAAAUAACAUAAAAGGGAGCCAUGCAAGGAUUUGUCUCUCUGGGGGUCCUACGUGGAGCAGAAUGAAGAUGAAAGUUGUGUCUUUUUCAGAUCUGUACAUGUGGUUCUGGAAUACACACAGUGUUUGAUGUGGAUGGGGUUGAAGGUCUCAGCUCCUGUUCCUCAUUUCUCUAAAUCUGUGCCUAAGGGUAGCUGCUAAAGAAAGAGUCAGAUCACAAUCUAAAUCUCUUGUGUCUUUUCAUUAUUUUUUUUCCAUUCCAUCUAGAGAUGUGAAGUGUAUUAAUUUUGAUUGAAACCCCAAUAAGACAUAGAAAAAGAAAAAAGCAUCUUGAUAUCUUCCUGGCACUAUAUGCCAGCACUAAACAGCUUGCUACAUGGUGUCAUGAUAUGGAAUACUGAUAAAUCCAGGAGACUUCCUUUAUCUCUAAUCCCAAGUUAUGUUCCCAGGAAUGAACAGAUAAAAUUAACAUCUUUUGAACUCAGAGAUAUUGAUGGUUUCUUCAAGAAAGUAAGUGUCCAUGUGAGAUGAAGAUGGAAAUCACCUAAUGAAAACAGUAAUACACAUAAUUGAUAUUUCCAAAUUCAACCUUCUGGUGACUGUGAAAAGGAUUGUAAGAGAUAAACUAUAAAUAAAAUAUGAAGAUAAAACUUUUCAAAUUGGAUGUUUUAGAAGAAUGCUUAUGGUUUUACCUAUUUAUUUAUUUUUACUGUUUGGAAUUUAGCAAUUGGUAUAAAUAAAAGAAAGUAGAGAAUUCAAAUAAUGGGAAGCCCACUUCUGCCAUACCAUUUUAUGACUGAUCCAGUGCCUAUCCCUGUUUUUAUUCCAUUCUCUAAAUUCUAAGCCAAGCCACUGACCAGAUGCAGUGCAGAAAAAAUAUCUUGAAAUAAAUAGGUUUAUGUAUUUAUACACAUUCUGCUUUGCUCAUAAUGAAACUCAUUGAGAAAACACAUGUCAAAUAAUUCUCAGAAAUAAGAAUUAAAACAAAAAGGAAUCUAAUGUUACAACAGUGGUCAAAGAACAGUGUUAAGAUGUAAGCUGAAUUUUGUUCAAAGGUUUGCUAAGCCGUAGAAGAGCUGUGCAAGAGCAAAACACAAAGACCUGUGAUGGCAUCUGAAUGUGCUUCAAAUAAGCAAAUGUUUACGUAGUCUACCAAGGCUAGUAUCAUUUUUUUACCACAUUGAUGUAUUAGUGUGUUCCACUGUCUUUUCUUCCUCACCUCCUAAUGAUAACCAUGUCUUAAUGAGUUUAUCUGCCCUCAGUGGUUAUAAUGACAUAUAAUACUUUCUCCGUUUUGACCAGUUUUAAUUUCAUGUUUUAAUUGAGCAUACAGUCACUCUGAUGAAAGACACAGACAUAUUACAAACUGAUGAGUAGCAGACCUGGUAUUUGUGGAAUUUAUUUCAGUGUAAGUUAGUUAUCUGAGUCACAUCCACUUGGACAGACUAGUUCUCAAAUUCUUUUUGAAAACAUUUAUUUCAAUAUUCCAUUAAAAAAAAAAAAAAAAAAAAAAGAAAAAGAGAGAGAGAGAGAGAGAGAAGUAAGAGCUCUGGAAACAAAGCUUCGUUCAUUACUAUCCAGAAUUUUGUCAGCACUGUACCCAUCCUAGUCAGCUGCUAUUCACUGUUUAUCAUUUCAGUCCAAUAGAAAAUGCUGAGCAGAAGAUUUACCACAGUAUAACUGAAACAUAAAGUUCUGGCUACAUAUAAAUAAACGAAGGCAAAUUCUACUGUCAUGAUAUGUACAAUAUCCAAAUAGUAACAGUGAACAUAGAGAUACAGUGUAAUAAAAGAAUUAUGGCUUAGGGGCUGUUGCUGAUGUCCUGACUCCUGAUGCAGCAACGUAACCUUACUGAAUUCAGCAGUAAUUGCUUGAAAAAUAUUACUGGACAGAAACUGAGUCAACAUUAAUGAAAAUGAAUAAUAUCCCUCAAAUUUUAGGUUAUGCAGCUAUGUGUGAUGAAAGAUAAUCUGGACAUAGAGAUGAAGAAAUACAUUAGGACACUAAGACCAUGCAAGUAAUUCAUAAGGGGAAUUUUUUGCCUAAUGAAAUGAUGUACCAUUUACUGAAUGGCUUCUUGAGGUUUCAUUACGUCCUGUGUCCUGUUGCUUCUUGGUGAUAGCCAGAAAUGACUCUGCUGAACUCAACAGGAUGAUCUCUCUACAUGAAUGCAUCCUUAGAGUAAAGCAGAUGGAGUAUUUAUUUCCGAAUGACAGCAGUGUUACUAUGAAAAUGUUCUACAGUCUCUAAAUUCUACUGACAUACUAAAUGACAAAUGCGGGAUAUAUGUUUUGUGAUUAAAUUUUCCAGUUUCUGGUGUAGUGCUUUUAAUAUGGAAAGCAAAUUCACAUGUUUUCAGCUUUGAGAACAGAGUCCAGUAUUGCAGUUUGGCACUGCAGUAAGCUAAGUAAGGGAAAAAGUUAUUGUUUUCCUGAACAUGGAAAAUAUAAGAGGCAGUACAAAUACUGAAACAAGUAAGGCAAUAUUUUAUACACAACUAAGAAUUUGGUAAGAGUGAAGACAAAAGAUGGUUUUGGACAACAAAAGUUUAGAUCAAAUCCAAACUCCUUUAGCAUUUAGCUGUUUCAGGACCAUCCUCUUGAUACUUUUUAAACAAGCAAGCAAACAAAAAAAUCUCAAAAUAUCUCUAUACAAAGAAAACACAGUGAAAAACAGUCUUGAACCUAAAUUAAAUAAUAGCAGUGGUUAGAGGUCUACUGGCGAGAAAUUAGAAGGGUCCUAGGGCUUUAUUCCCAUAGAGUCCUAAGCUUUUCAGUUUACUUUAAUAAAAACUUAAAUCACUCUCCAAUGAUUUCUCUUAAGGAAAAGCAUGAGUUAAAAGAGAAUGGGAAAGUAUAAACAAGUUGAAUGUCACAGACUGGUAAAUAAAAAGUUAUGGUCUGAAGGAAUGGCUGUGAUUUCAAAGAGAUAUGGAUUCAUGCAGGAUGUGAGUAACUCCUUUAGACUUCCCACUAUCUAUAAGUGGGCUCCCACUGACGUUAUUGGUAUCCUCUGUCAAGAGAAUAGGACCCAUAUUUUUAGAUUUGUGUAUACCAGCUAUUUGCUGGAGUUGUUAUCACACUCGUAUUUUUAGCGGUUCACUAUAUUAAGGAGAGGAGCUUUUGCAUUGUGUUGUGUCAUUUGCAGUGUGCAAACUUCCUGGAGCUUUUCUGCUCCUUUGAUCCCACCAGCCACAGUAGCAGAAGAGCUGACUCAUCAGCCACGACUAUUUCUUCCAUAACAGGAGCUCCCCAGGUAGGCGGAAAUUUGCCAAACACAGGAAGGUAACAGCCAUAUCCACUCUGAGCCCUGGACUAACUCAAAGUCCACUGCAAACAGGAAGAAUCUCAGCAAUAUCAGAGUUGAUUGCAGGUAUUUCAUGGAUUUGUCUUCUGACAUUCUGUAGCAAUGUUAUGUCACUGUAUCCUAAGUAUACUUUGUGCACUUUUCAUCUGUAGUAAUACCAAAGUACAGUAAUGAUCAGUUUCUUGCUGGGUACAUUUAUCUUUACUUAUUGUACAGAUAGUGGUGUUAUUUUGUGAUUUGUGUUGUUAGUUAUACACGCUAGCUCACAGAAAAUCAAAAUAAAAUUAUACAAUUCCUCCUGACCCAGAAAUGCUAUUUCCCCACUCCUCCCUUCCAUACAUGCAAUCUUUCUUGACAUCUAUUUAAAAUAAAAUGUAUUGGCUUUUUCCAUAAAGCCAGUAUGUUAUGUGAAUUUGCUAGAAAGAUGACACAAUAUUACAUUAAAUUUUUGAAAACAUGGAAGUAACUAAAUUCUUAUGCACAGUAUAUUGAGAAGAGAUAUGACAGUUUAAGAAUGAGAAGAUUUAUGUGAGCUUAACUUUAUGCAUUGUAACAAAAUGGAACAGACUGACCAGGAAGUGGUGCAGUCACUGUCUCUGGAAGUGUCUGAGGAAAGGGUAGGUGUAGUACCUAGGGACGUUUUUAGUGGGCAGUAUUGGUGUUUGGUGGAUGGUUGAAGAAGAUGAUCUUAGAGGUCUUUUCCAACCUUAUUUAUUCUAUGAUUCUAUCAAAAUUUUCAAAAAACCCCAAUCCAACACACACUUUUAUUCUGUUUGAAUUUAAGGAAUUGUGUAAUGUAUUUUAAAAUACUUCUGUCUCAAUUUUCUUGACUGGUUCUAUAAAGCAAAUCUCUUAACAUAUAGUAUUUUGAAGAUGCUCAAUAGCUUAUGAAGCAGCAUGACUUAUUCCCAAUAGGUCUUACUCUCUUUCCAUUUUUCAGUGGAUGUAGAAGCUUGAGUAGCAAUCACUUCUUUCUUUUUUUCCUUCUUUUGCUUCCUUUUUCCUUUUUUUUUUUUUUAAUGUACAUUUUGCUUCAAACUUAUAUUAGUGAAAGACAGUCUGCAAAGUACCUCUUUGUACUUGGAGCAGAAAUAUCUCAAGUAAUGAGAUCAGCCAGCAUGGGUUCACGAAGGGCAGGUCCUGCUUGACCAACCUGAUCUCCUUCAAUGAUCUAGUGACCUGACUGGUGGAUGAGGGAAAGGCUGUUGAUGUGGUCUACCUAGACUUCAGCAAAGCCUUUGACACUGUCUCCCACCGUAUUCUCCUGCAGAAGCUGGCAGUCCGUGGCUUGGACAGAUACACUCUUGGCUGGGUAAGGAACUGGCUGGAGGGCCGGGCCCAGAGAGUGGUGGUGAAUGGAGUUAAAUCCAGCUGGCGACCGGUCACGAGUGGUGUUCCCCAGGGAUAGGUGCUGAGGCCUGUCCUGUUUAAUAUCUUUAUUGAUGACCUGGAUGAGGGUAUUGAGUGCACCCUCAGUAAGUUUGCAGAUGACACCAAGCUGGCUGGAAGUGUUGAUCUGCCUGAGGGUAGAAAGGCCCUACAGAGGGAUCUGGAUAGCUGGGCUGAAGCCAAUGGGAUGGGAUUCAACAAGACCAAAUGCCGGGUCCUGCACUUUGGCCGCAAUAACCCCAGGCAAUGCUACAGGCUUGGGGCAGAGUGGCUGGAAGACUGUGUAGAGGAAAUGGACCUGGGGGUGUUGAUUGAUGCUAGGCUGAACAUGAGCCAGCAGUGUGCCCAGGUGGCCAAGAAGGCCAAUGGCAUCCUGGCUUGUAUCAGAAAUAGUGUGACCAGCAGGAACAGGGAAGUAAUUAUCCCCCUGUACUCAGCACUGGUGAGGCCGCACCUCGAGUACUGUGUCCAGUUUUGGGCCCCUCACUGUAAGAAAGACAUCGAGGCCCUGGAGCGUGUCCAGAGGAGGUCAGCAAAGCUGGUGAGGGGUCUGGAGCACAGGCCUUAUGAGGAGUGGCUGAAGGAGCUGGGAUUGUUCAGUCUAGAGAAGAGGAGGCUCAGGGCAGACGUUAUUGCUCUCUAUAACUACCUGAAGGGAGGUUGUGGUGAGCUGGGGGUUAGCCUCUUCUCUUGGGUGACUGGUGAUUGGACUAGAGGGAAUGGCUUCAAGCUGCACCAGGGAAGGUUCAGGCUGGACGUUAGGAAUACUACUUCUCUGAAAGGGUGGUCAGGCACUGGAAUGGGCUGCCCAGAGAGGUGGUGGAGUCACCGAGCCUAGUGGUGUUCAAAGAGCGUUUGAAUGUUGUGUUGAGGGACAUGGUUUAGCGAAAACCAUUGGUGAAGGGCGAAUGGUUGGACUGGGUGAUCCUGUGGGUCUUUUCCAACCUUAGCGAUUCUGUGAUUCUAUGAUUCUAUGAAUGCAAUACACUGAAUGAAAAUGCAGAGAUGCAAGGGCAGUAAAUUGCCCUGAUUCCAAGUAUGUUUAAGAUAACAUUUUGUUUGGCUUCCAACAGCUCUGCUACAGAAGCUCACAAGCUAAGAAAGGCUGGACCUCACUGAUACUUGGAUGGAAUAUCUUCAUAUUUAUUUUAGGGAGUGGCACUAAUGACUUUGUAGCUGGCACUUUGAAUUGGUGUUACCUCAGAACUUAUUAUUUUGUUAGGGAUAAAAAAUUGCAAGAGAGAAAAAAGGCUGAAUUUUCAAAUACCAAUCCAGUCAUAAAUCCGGUGGCCUUCUAUGAUAGAGUGACAGCAUAGGUGGACAAAGGAAGAGCAACUGAUGUUUUCUAGCUGGACUUCUGCAAGGACUUCAUAAUGGUCCUGCACCAUUAUGCCCAGCCAGAGGCUGGUGAUGACUUCUUUUAUCUCUGGGAAUCUUUUCCUCUGCAAAGGGUGCUGGCCUUCCACAAAAUUCAAGUCUUAAAAGUUUACAGCUGCCUUUGUUUCCACAGAAUUCAAGCCAACUGAGAGUAAAGAGCUGUCCUAAUACCUCUUGCAGUCUGAGGGCGCUGCAGAGAACGUGCAUAGCCCCAGUAUAUGUGUGAGCAUUUGGCUUGCCAUUUCAUUUUGCUGAAACAUGUCAGGCUUACCAAAUGCUGUAUGAGGCCCAGGAGAUGUCUACUAAGACCUUCUGUCUUCCUGUAGACUCAUUUCUAGGGAAUAGUUUGAUGUGCACUGAUCUAAUACUUAUCAUCACAAUAUGUAUGCAUCUAUGAAUGUACAUACGUGGAUAUGUGUGUAUAAACAUACACACAUACGAACUCUUCUGUCAAGAAGAAAGUGGACAAAAUAUUAAUUACUGAAGCAAUUCUAUCACUAUAUUCAAUACUUAGUGCUUUAUUCACAAUGUUUUAUUUUCAUUUUUGCUCUCCUUUUAUAGAUGACAAUUUCAACAAAGGGAGGAAGAAAAAACAGAGCUCCAGUGUUGGCAAUGGAAAUAUCUCUCCGUUCUUUCUAAAUGUAAUUUGCUAAACCAGUCUUCACUCAUGCUGCUCUUUAAGGCAGUGAUACACUGGGAAGCAUUUCACAGUUUCUAUGCACAGGAGAGAUUCCUGGUCUCAGCUGUGUAAAUGUUUUAACUGAGAUUCAUGCUUGGCUAUUCAGGUCAUUGCUUUCUCUUCCAGCCCACACAAGCCAAAAUGCAUCAAUAUAAGCAUAAAGCAUCCAAAAUCAACACAGUAUUUUCACUUGAACGCACCUAUGGCACGUGGUUUGCUCAAAGUACAGGGUACUAGGCCAAGUGCUAGAUUUACACAUUUGCCUGAUAUGAACUUAGUAUGAUCUACAAAAUUCAUGCAACAGUCCUGUUUUGUGCCUUUUCAAAUCUGACUUGGCGAGAUUCCAAGGAAGGAAUCAAAGGAAUACAAACUCUUGGUUCAGACUUCAGAAUGGACUAAACUAAUGUAGGAAACCUUUAAAAAAUAUGAAGCUUAAUGUCUACUGUUACCGUACAUAUGCUUCUGACUUCAAGCAACCGACAACUUCUUCCCUGUGUUGAAUGGAAGAGCACAGGCACUCUUCCCUCUAUUAUUCUGUUUUAUUUUGUGUAAGAGUUUCAGUCACACAUGGAAACUCAAAAACAGAUUAAAGACUAAGGUGGAUUUGGUUUAGAAGGGCUCAGGUAGCUCUAGAGGCAGUCUUAAUACAGAAAUUUGCAGGGAUUUUGUUCCCACAUGCUUUUAUUCUGUCUGUAGUUCUUUGCAACCUCAAAUGGAAGACAGUGAAUCCCAAGGCACCUCCUGUGGUGCCAAGACUCUCCUUUUGUGACAUUUCUCUUGUUUUGUUUUUAAUCUAAAUUUCAGUGUAAUCAUGAAAACAGAACUUUCAUGCUAUUUUUUACUGAAUUUAAAAAGGAGGUCUUGAGGGUUUUUGUGGUCCAACCUUGAGGAACUCCUGCACCCAGUGACUAGGCCUUUUGCUGUUUAGUAUGUUCUCUGUGAGGUGAAAGAUGCCAUGUUCUCAGAAUCCCGGAACUACUUUUCAAUAGCUAAUUUACUGCCACAAACACUUGCUGCUUGAGACUGUAAGGUUGAUUGCUGGGCACCCAGAAAAGGGCUCCCAGACAAUUCUGCGAGACUACUGCAUGUAGUUGGUUUGGCUCUGGGAUUUCACAAGCUUUGGGUCACAGAUGCUUACGGGCAUACACAUGGUUGACUGCAGUACUAUAUCCAUACACUUGCCAUACGAGCAUACAGACCAAACAUCCCCCUGCACUUGUCAGUGAAAGCACAAGGCUUUUCUUAUUUCUUUGAGAAAUAAAACUAAGUAGUUCUGGCCUUGUAUAUAUUUAUUAGAUAUUAGAUAAAAAUAAUAAGUAGAUAUUAGAUAUAUUUACCACCUUAAGCCUAAAGUAAUACGAAUGCAGGAAAAAUAAUGUAGUUCUGCAGUUGAUCUUGCAAGACAGAAAAGCUUCAUUCUUCCCUAUCAAUUUGUCUUGCCUACAGCUAAGGAAUACUCUAAUCAUUAAGCUAUUUGGGAAGCUUUACGUUUUUUUUGUUUGUUUGUUUGUUUUGUUUUUGAAAUCUACAGCUGUCCUCUAUCUUUUAACUGCUUUCAAGCAACAUUAUUUCCACAGUUUGAGGCCAAAGCUGGCAACAGUUUUAGGACUUUCAAAACUUUUUUAACUUUGGUAAAUCAUUUUCACUGAGGAAAAAAAAAUAAAAAAAAAUCAAUUUCACUACUUUUGUUCAGGACAAAAUUGCUCUGGCCUCUAACUAUCCCAAACUGCAACUCAUUUGUGUGUCUCACUGUAAAAAAACAAUAUUGCAGGAGUAAAACCUCAUUUACUUAUGCUGAAAAAUACAUAAUGCAUCUCUUUCUCAAGGACAUGGUCACUUACUGUAUACUCUGCCAGAUGGAAAACUAAGCGUUCAUCGUAAAUACAUGUGCCACUGCUUCAGGACUCACUAAAGACAGGUGGUUGGUAUAGCAGGUCAAUUCAAAAGGUGGCCCACUGAACUGAAAAAUUAAAGCAACACAGAAGUAAAAGAGUAUUGUUUUUCCUCUCUAUAAAAUGAGUUCAAUUUUUUAUGCUGAUAUUUUAGGGAAAUUGUCAAAUUAUCUCAAUCUCUUCAAUUCAAAAUUACUGCAAAGUACUUGCAACAAGAUAUAUUAAUAUGGCCUUAAUGCUGGGAUGGUUUCAAAAUCAUAUGCCAGUGCAGAUUACCAGGUUGUGAAUGAAAUAAAUAUUAUGUUUCAACUCAAGGUUGAGAUACUGAAGGGGUAGCUUGCACUGGUGAAACUUGAUUCACUGUAGGGACACACACUGUAGUGCAUUCAAACUCCUAAUUACAUUUAGUUCCAUUUAACUUUAGUUUCUUAUUUUUUAAGCCUUGCAUAGGUACCAGUUGCCACCUUUACUCCAGAAAGCUGUGGUAACAGGAAUCUGCACAUUAGCCACAAGACAAGUUAGAACUAGAGUUAAGCACCUUCAGAAUUUCAGUUAGUUUAAAUGAAAGUGAUAAUAAGGGGUCUGGAGCGUAAGUCUUACGAGGAGUGACUGAGGAGUCUGGGAUUGUUUAGCCUGGAGAAGAGGUAGAGGGGAGGCUUCAUAUCUCUCUACAACUACCUGAAAACAAGUUGUAUUGAGGCAGGCAUCAGCAAUAGGACUAGAGGGAAUGGCCUCAAGUUGCACCAGGGGUGGUUCAGGUUGGAUAGUGGGGAAAAUUUGUUCUCUGAAAGCAUGAUCAAGUGCUGGAAUGGGCUGCCCAGGGGAGCUGAUUGAGUCACCAUCCCUGGAAGUGCUCAAGAAACAUUUAGAUGUUGUACUAAGGGGGAUGGUUUAGUGGGAAAUAUUGGUGAUAGGUGGACAGUUGGAUUGGAUGAUCUUAGAGGUCUUUUCCAACCUUGGUUAUUCUAUUAUUCUAUAAUUAUAUGAUACAUAAAGCAGAGCCCAGAUCAAAUGAACAGGAUCAUUUUCACAGAUCAGUUAAUAUCUGUGAAGAAGUGAAUAUGCACGCUGCCUGUGCAUCUGUAACUAGUUACAGAAAGGAUAGAAGAAGUGAAAGAAAAGCCAAUUGCUCAUUGAUGUACUUGUCUAGCACUAGGACUGAUUGGGGGAUUGUGUAGAAAUAAGCCACACUCUUUCCUAGUGUGGGCCCUAGAGUCAAAGAAACACUUAAUGGUAUUGCAACUGAAUCUCAGUACACUGUUUCAACCUGUCCGUCAAUGUUUUUCUGAGCUCAUUUGUUUGCCGUUCUGUGCCUGCUAUCCUUUCUCGCUUUUUGGCUUUAUCUGUGUUCACGCUUUUUUUCCCCAAAAGGUGUGCUGCAUGGAGUAUUAAUCUAUUGCUGUUUCCUCCCAGAUACCUCACUUUCCAUUGAAAAGAUAUUGAAACUCUAAUGUUAUUUCUAUAUGAUUGUAAGACUUCAUAAGGAAUUUUCUGGAGUAGAUAAGAAAUCAAAAUGUUCUCAGUUUUUAUCCAUAUCUUCUUAUAUUCUAGUCAAUCUAUGUAAUGCUGUCUUCUAACAAGUGAAAUAGAAAGCCAUGGUAUUAGCGUUUUCCUUAGAGUAGCAAACAAUGUUCAACAGAGAAUUCUGCCAUCCAUAAAAUUCGAAAUAAACCUAAGUUAGUGGCUUUUGUUGCCACUGCUCACACAGAACAUAUCUUAUUAACAUUUUGGUUUUAUAAGUUUAUUGUAUUAAGGGUAUAUUUUAUCAAUAUAUCCUUUGUGUAACGCAGAGAAGGAGAAGGGAAGAACAGAGAACCAGACAAACUGACGUAAGAAAAUGUUUAUACUAGGGAAAUUCCUGACUGUACUUGGGCUACCUGUUGAAGGUCAAGUCUGCCUGAAAUGAAAUAAAAAAUAUAAAAGUGCCAAUGGUACAAAUACCAGCAAGUAUCAAUGGAUUCCAAGGAUCUCUUUCUCCACCUGUCAUGGAUGUUCAGAGAAACCUGAUGUCUUUGUAGCCUCAGUGCACUGCUUUGGUUCACGUAUAAAAAAUUGCUGUGCCAAAUUGGAGUUAAUGAGGAUCCCACUUAAUUAUCCCUCUUAAUUAGUAAACUGCUGUAAAAUGCUGUAAUUAGCUGCUGGACUUUUCAUGUAUAUUAUCCAUUGUGCCCGAAGAUAAACCUUUAACUAUAUGACUAUGGCAAUCCUUCAGUGAUUCCAUUCAGAAGCAGAGUAUUGUGUUUGCCUCUGACUCCUUUAUGUUGUUAAAAUAUAAGAGAUUAAUUCUUGGGUGUUGAACUAACUUCCUCUUCUUAUCUUCUUGACAACUACUUGUAAUAUCU